Long non-coding RNA from Nematostella vectensis (starlet sea anemone), 285 nucleotides. RefSeq lists it as uncharacterized. The record is from RefSeq and is a predicted model, not a curated record. Lineage: Eukaryota; Metazoa; Cnidaria; Anthozoa; Actiniaria; Edwardsiidae. The transcript is spliced from 2 exons.
UCUGAAGUAUUAAAUGGUGCUAGUUAGUUUACAUCCUCGGUGACCCAGGGCGUCGCGGAGAUCGAGGACACAGGAAGCACGCGAGAAAGAAUGAGGAGACGUCUUGUUCCCCUAUUUCUUUCUUCUUCGCACGUACGUUCGCUUCCGGUCACAUGGUCGCCCUGUGUCCCCGAGGAAGAGAUACGUCACAAACUCAAGAUUGCACAGUGUUGCGUGACACAAUAAGUUCGUGACAAGUCAAGUGUUGUGUGACACCCACCCGUUAGGAGGGUCCACGAGGAUGGC